UCCCAUAUUCCUCAUUCAAUUUUUCGGACUAGUCCAGUAAACAACUAAGUCUAUUUGUUUGUACCUAAUUGUAAAAUUUUAUAAAAUCGUUAUAAAAGUCCGUUCCGUAACUGCAAAUAUAUAUUACGACUGCAAAGGUUUUCGAAAGUUUUGAGUCGGAACUGAAGUCUUUUGAAGGCCGAACAGCAGUUGUAAAUUGCCAACUAGUGCCUAUUUCUGUGAGGAGGUUCUACUAAACAUAUCAAAAUGUGUUGCGGACCUUGCGGAGGCUGCUGUGGACCCUGCGGUCCUUGCUGCGGACCUUGCGGUGGCUGCUGCGGUCCCUGUGGACCUUGCUGUGGUCCCUG
Drosophila navojoa is the source of this 347-nucleotide long non-coding RNA. RefSeq lists it as uncharacterized. NCBI's taxonomy places the organism in Eukaryota, Metazoa, Arthropoda, Insecta, Diptera, Drosophilidae. The record is from RefSeq and is a predicted model, not a curated record.